UACGUAGGGGCCUAGCGUUGUCCGGAUUUAUUGGGCGUAAAGAGCUCGUAGGCGGUUCGGUAAGUCAGGUGUGAAAUCUCCACGCUCAACGUGGAGGCGCCACCUGAAACUGCCGUGACUCGAGUCCGGUAGGGGAGUGUGGAAUUCCUGGUGUAGCGGUGAAAUGCGCAGAUAUCAGGAGGAACACCAGUGGCAAAGGCGGCACUCUGGGCCGACAUUGACGCUGAGGCGCGAAAGCCAGGGGAGCAAACGGG
RNAcentral lists this ribosomal RNA (254 nucleotides) under uncultured bacterium. RNAcentral's name for it is "partial 16S ribosomal RNA". It matches the Rfam family "Bacterial small subunit ribosomal RNA", at positions 524 to 776 of the family's 1533-position model. The record is from RNAcentral.